Molecule: non-coding RNA, 98 nt
Organism: Caenorhabditis elegans
Lineage: Eukaryota; Metazoa; Nematoda; Chromadorea; Rhabditida; Rhabditidae
Source: Ensembl
AAAAACUUACGCAACGAGCAGGAAUCGAACCUACGCGGGCAAAGCCCAAUGGAUUUCAAGUCCAUCUCCUUAACCACUCGGACAUCGUUGCACAAAAC